AGUGGUUCGGGGAAAGUAAUGUAGUCAUGUUUUAUUUAUUUAUUUAUUUAUUUAUUUAUUUAUUUAUUUAUUUUUACUUUUUUUUAAAGUCCUAAUGUUCAAUGUGAAGAAAGCAAUUGCUUACCACAAACCUUGAUCCAACUACCCAGGAGUUUGACAUACUACAUGAACGUGCAGAUCCAUGGAUUACCACGCACAGUUAGAUGCAGUCUGGCUGGAACAGACAGGAGAAGCCAGUUUGUAUCAGAGCAGUUAACUUGGCUUCCACUCCUGCCGCUCUCCGCAUCCCACGUCGGCUGUAUAUCACUCCAUUAACUACAGCAAUGGGUAUUUGCACUCAAUAAAUGUGUGUGGGUG
This 357-nucleotide long non-coding RNA is filed under the name Mus spicilegus (steppe mouse). Its description in RNAcentral is "lncRNA (ENSMSIG00000029716.1)". The record is from RNAcentral. Lineage: Eukaryota; Metazoa; Chordata; Mammalia; Rodentia; Muridae.